Long non-coding RNA from Cyprinus carpio (common carp), 2083 nucleotides. NCBI's taxonomy places the organism in Eukaryota, Metazoa, Chordata, Actinopteri, Cypriniformes, Cyprinidae. The record is from Ensembl.
AUGAGCGAAACCCUCCUCCUUACGCUUUUGCUUCUUUGCUCUGCUUUAGGCCUGAAUCACUUUAUAGUUCCUCAGAAUUUGACCUCGGAGACCGGAAAAACUGUCACCUUUGAAUGUGGUGUUGGUGGAUUGAAUGGGGAAAAAAUCCGGUUUUACAUUAUGGGUCCAAAGGUCAAUGAUUCCGUGUCUUGUCCAGGAGAAAAAACCAAGUACUUGCCUGCUCAGUCAAUGAAAGCCUACUGUUAUACAAAAUCUGGUGGAGAUGUAGCUGCUUGGGAAGUCGCAGGAACAUCAGAAGAUGACAAUGGCACUAUUUUUUUGUGCAAAGUCAAUACUGCAGAUGACAAAAUCGGAUACCUUUAUGUGUACGGUAUGUUACUAGCAAUUAAAAGUGUGUGUCAAUGUGAACAGACACUUGCCUUCAAGUCUUUCUCUCUGUGUUUCUUUCAGAGAAUGAUUCAUACUAUGCCAAGCUCAUUGGAUAUGUGAUUGGAGGAUUUUUAGCUGGUCUCAUUAUCAUCGUUGCGGCUUAUGUCCUGUUGAAAAGAUCAGAGAAAGUACAGCACUGCUUCAGUAAGUUUCUCAUUGUUCAUGUACUUAGCACACUAGAUUCUAUUCUGUUUUACACACUGGAAUAUAUCUAAUGUACAUGAAGAGAUACUGAGUUAUAGACAGAUAGUUUCUCAAGUUUGGUCUUGUUCUGCGUUUUUAGGGUCAGUGGGUGGAAUCCAAGAUGACGUGCAAUAGCCACAAUCUAAGCAAUACUGAAACCCCUCUCAUGCUCCUUACCAACAAAUGUGGAUUUGGAGGGCUAAUAAUAACAUAGCACAAACAUCGCAAUAUAAUAUAGGUUCUGCAGAUUUGAAAGAAAGGCCUGUGUUUCUCAGUUUUCAGUCUUGUCCAGUAGAGGGCGUGUUCACUUCUUUGUUCACAGCCAUGUUUUAGUUUCUCAUGUUCCUGGUUCAAAAUCCUUUUUUUUUUUUUUUGGUCACAGAGGAACAUUUUAAGUAACUAUAAUAUCUAAAUUUUAAUUUCGAACCCUAAUUUACACUAAAAUGUGAGGGAUUUUGAUACAGGAGUAUGUUCUAUUAGUUAAUCCACUUUAAGCAUCAAGCAACACCACCUUUCAAGAAUGUUUAUCUUACAAAUACACACAUUUGAUUAUCUAAUUGUGGAUCUGCUGUUUAAUGAAUAGUCAAGUACUCAGAAUGAAUGUGUCAUUGUCAUGCUGUUUACCAUAUUCAUUUAUUUUAGUUGUUUUUUAUUUUCAAUGUAAUGUAAAUUACUCACUGCUUUGAUUUCAUUUCAUUUUAUACUGCUUUAAGAGGCUAAAUGACAAAAUUCACAGCACACAUAUGAGGCUUUUGGGUUGCGUUGAGUAGAUCAAUAGGAGAUGGGUCAAUAUUGACACAGGUGGUUCUGUGCACCCUGGAACAGCCGUGUUUCUAUUCUACUACACUUUUCAUUGUAGAUAUCAGUCCGUAAGCAUUUAGUUUUAAAGUUUUAAAGGCUCAGAAACUGCGUAUUUAAUCCUGUUUUGAACCUUUGACUAUUUGCAUAUGUGCUCUGGCAUUUGUAAACACUCAUGAAGUCACAUUACAACAUACAAGCACAACAAUCAUCUGCUUUAGCUCACAGUCACAUUUAAUAUUAAUGUUGUAUGAUAUUUUCAGAAUGUGCUUGUAUCAAUUCAAAAUGUAAACAUUAUUGUAAACAUCUGAAAUGUAGACGAGAGCCUUUCAAAUCAGAUUAGACAGUCAAAUCUAAAACAUUUAUAUUGUUAUUUUUGGUUACAUUUUGACUUUAUUUUAAUGCUUUCCGUUCUCUUGAAAGACUCCAAUGCUGUUUGUGUAAAAAUAAUUGAAUUACCCUAUUAUUUUCUUUUCAAAUUCUUGUAAUAUGUUCCACUGACCUUAUCAAAACCCAGUAGACAGAUAUUAUUGAGGCUUCUACUCUCUGUUUUAUCAGCAUGUACUUUUCAUAAAGGUGAUUAUCUUGUAUACAGACUUUUGUUUGGGGUCAGUUUGACCAAUGUAUAAAUACAUUUUAGAAUAAUAUAAUAAAACGCAUAAGAAUCAGGACA